Molecule: long non-coding RNA, 967 nt
Organism: Megalobrama amblycephala (Wuchang bream)
Lineage: Eukaryota; Metazoa; Chordata; Actinopteri; Cypriniformes; Xenocyprididae
Exons: 2
Source: RefSeq, a predicted model, not a curated record
AUUCUUCAUAUUCGAAAAUGGCGGAAAGCGGCGAUAUGCAGCUCAUUCAAGUCCUUAAGUACCUCAGGGAAAAACGGUGUUUAUUGUGGUUAAAUUGCUCUUGUUUCACAUGAUGGCACCUAUAAGGCAUGACCAUUGGACAGCAAAACGCUCGUUGGAUCAGCAGGGUCAGACAAAAACAGGUGGAGAAGAAAAAACAUGUUAACUGCAAAAUAAUAAAGAAUUAAGAUAAAGAAUUAAGUGUGAAACCAUCAGGAACCCUUUAGUCUCCAGCGCCACCAUUUUCCAGAACUGCAACCUACCUGGAGUCUCCAGAAGUGCAAGGUGUCAGGAUCUCAGAGACUUAGGUAAAGAAUCCUAAAAAAUGCCUCCCAUUUAAAAAUCACAUACUGAAUUGUAGUAAAAUACAAGCAGACUGUUUUUUUUAUAGGCUUUAUAGACAGACAGAUUGAGAGUGUCUCUUGAAGGACAGCAACAUAUACUCUUGUAUCACUGUUUGAAGAAUUUAUCUUCCAGAAUCUGGCAGUAUUCAUAUCUUUUAUGGAGGACGAAACCUGCAAAAACAAUAAAUAUAUAAAUACCAGAAUAAAUAAAUCCACAAAAUUGUACAUAAAUAAAUAAAUAAAUGUGUAAAUAAAUACACAAUAAUUCCACAUAUUCCUGCAUAAAUAAAUACACAAUGAAUUAAAUGUGCGAGGAAAAUAAAUAAUUUAAUAAAUAAAACGAAUGUUGGGGAAAUAACAAAAAAUGUUCAAGGAAACAAUCGCUAAACUGAAAGUUGACUUUUUUUUUUUCUUUUAACCGUUUAUUCAUUUUUUUAAUGUAUUUAUUAGGGUGAAUUAAGGGUGAUUGGGACAGUUUUUGAAUUAGUCUUAAAUGAAAAACAUCAGCUCAACACAUGAUACAUUUCUGUAAUACUGAAGAUGUUAACUAUCCAUUUGAGGAGGAAACGAUGGUAUAUUAUAAU